Xiphophorus hellerii (green swordtail) is the source of this 2161-nucleotide long non-coding RNA. RefSeq lists it as uncharacterized. The record is from RefSeq and is a predicted model, not a curated record. NCBI's taxonomy places the organism in Eukaryota, Metazoa, Chordata, Actinopteri, Cyprinodontiformes, Poeciliidae. The transcript is spliced from 2 exons.
GGGGCCUGAGGACCGGAAUUGAGAAACGCUGGAUUAAUGGCGCAACAAAAUCACAUUUUUAGUGAUUAUUUGUUGAGUUGACUUCUUAGGUUAAAUACAACAAAGGAAGCAAAAUCUAGCCAACACAAACAAUAAUGACUUUUUUCUUUUCAGUUAACAUCAAGCUACAAACGUCCCAGGUUAACUUUUGUAGUUUCUAUUCAGAAACUACAAAAGAAAAAACCUUGGUGGAGGUGACAAUCAACAGCUGAAAUUCAGCUGGUUCAUUUUGACGUAUUCAGUGUCUAUUUAUGAAGUCAGAGUAAUAAUAGCCAUAAAGAACACACCCAGAGUUUGGAAUUGCAACUUGAUAUGUUGGCCAACCUAAACCUGAAAAUCCACAAGAUGUGUAGCACAAAUACGUAAAAGGUGGUAGCAAUAAACAAAUGGGUAGUUGCACAUAUUAUGAUUUGUACCAUAUUGUCUGAAUGCAUAAAAUAUAAUUUAAUUUAAAGGAAAUUCUUUUGGUUUGUGUUGUCAAUGCUAGUGGCAGGCUUUCCAAUGUGCAACUAGAACAGAAACAAAGACCCCUAAAAAUCCCUGCCCUCAGGUUAUACAGCUAGCUAAUGCUUGAGUUGGGAAUAAUCCAGUCCUUAAUGGUUUUGUGACUUUAUGGAUGGCCUGCGUGUUAUUGUUUAUAUCCGGAAAUUUCGCACAUGCGCACAACAAUGCGGGGUAUAAAAAAGGCUAUUCAUUUACAUCCACAGCCGUGCUGCCACGGUAGAACAAUUCCGUUUACUAAACAAAACCUGGAGAUUUACGUAUUAUUAAUUUAGUGCAGUGCGCCCCAGCAAAGGGAAAAAAACUUUAAAAGACAACUCAAAACAACAUAUUUCUCUGUGUCGGCUGUGCUACACGCAGACUCAGUUGCUAUAGCAACUGAUGACACCACCAGCAAAAACAUCCCCCACACAAAGAACAGAGCAUUCAGUCCACUAGAGUAUUAAGUGUUUAGGGUUGAUGUUUAUUUUGCAGUUAUUGUUAAGUGAAAGCUGUGAUAGAUUAGCUACUGUUGCUACUAGCUAAGCUAACACAGGGUGGUUGAAUAGCUAAUUUAAACAUUGCUCUACUGAUGAUUUGUCAGACAUUACUUAAACGUGGACUACUAAACUGGAUUAAUGAGAAGUCUCCCACUUUAACUCAGUGAUGUAAAUCAUUUUUUAAGAUAUUGAUACUAGAAGCUCAGUACAAGAUUGAGAAACAAUGAUGAUGGAUUUAUGAAUAUAUAUUGACCUCCAGUGGAAAUCUGCUCCGAAUCUACAAUAUAUUAUCCAAGGCAUUAUGGUGUGGUGAGGAUAUGGAGGGGUUACUUAAAAUUAGAGAAAGGAAAUGUGUAUUUUUAUUAAAGCCUUUUUUAUUUUGCAUGUAAGCACAAAAAUGUCUCUAAAACUCAUAAACUGAUCAGGAAACCAGUUAUUGGGUAUAAGAGGCAAUUUUUUUUUUAAUAAAUAAAACUAUAAUUUGCAAACAUCAGUUUUCAUCAAGUCAAAAAUACCUUUCAUAUUGCAAUGUUUAAUGUUAAACAUUUGAGUGUGACAAAUAAGAAGUAUACAAGCGGACAAAUACUUUUUCAAACGAUGGUAUUUAGAAUUUUCUCCAUGUGUGAAUAUGAAGAAAAAAGAUAAUAAUAAAUUAAAUCAAGAAGGGUUAUAAACAGACUGCACAUUUAACCAUUUUCACACUAUAUUAGAAUCUGUUGUUUGAACUACGUCUGUUUCAGUAAGCAAUAAAUCAAUCGCAUGAUAAAUGAAAACAAGCUUGUGUAGCGUAGUUGAUUCUGCGUUGUGUUUUGUGGGGAAUAACAGCCAGACAACAGCUGAUCUGAAGGCACUUUUAAUGCUCCUGCAUUCAAAUAGCAGAAAAUAGUCAUUCAAAAACAGGUUUUUUCAUCACAGUGUUCCACAGCGCUUUCUCCCACGGAAUCCAAACAAAAAGAGAACGUGCGACUUGUGUAAAAUAACACAUUUACCUUACAAAAUAAAAAUAAUUGCAACAAUAAUUAGUAACUAACCCCAAGCAUGAGCAUAAUGAUCUUAAACAGUACAUGAAUAAGACAAAAAAAUAAUAAAUAAAAUAAUCCCACACCAAAAGUAAUGAAACAUCACAUACCUGCAUUCAAAUA